CCUACGGGUGGCUGCAGUGGGGAAUAUUGGACAAUGGGCGAAAGCCUGAUCCAGCCAUGCCGCGUGUGUGAAGAAGGCCUUCGGGUUGUAAAGCACUUUCAGUGGGGAAGAAAGCCUUGGGGCUAAUACCCUCGAGGAAGGACAUCACCCACAGAAGAAGCACCGGCUAACUCCGUGCCAGCAGCCGCGGUAAUACGGAGGGUGCGAGCGUUAAUCGGAAUUACUGGGCGUAAAGCGCGCGUAGGCGGUCUGAUAAGCCGGUUGUGAAAGCCCCGGGCUCAACCUGGGAACGGCAUCCGGAACUGUCAGGCUAGAGUGCAGGAGAGGAAGGUAGAAUUCCCGGUGUAGCGGUGAAAUGCGUAGAGAUCGGGAGGAAUACCAGUGGCGAAGGCGGCCUUCUGGACUGACACUGACGCUGAGGUGCGAAAGCGUGAGUAGCAAACAGGAUUAGAUACCCCGGUAGUC
Molecule: ribosomal RNA, 465 nt
Filed under: Vreelandella stevensii
Lineage: Bacteria; Pseudomonadati; Pseudomonadota; Gammaproteobacteria; Oceanospirillales; Halomonadaceae
Description: partial 16S ribosomal RNA
Rfam family: Bacterial small subunit ribosomal RNA
Source: RNAcentral